UACGGAGGGUCCAAGCGUUAAUCGGAAUUACUGGGCGUAAAGCGCGCGUAGGCGGUUUAGCAAGUUGUAUGUGAAAGCCCAGGGCUCAACCCAGGAACUGCAUCUUGAACUGGCAAUCUUGAGUCCGUGAGAGGGGGGUAGAAUUCCAGGUGUAGAGGUGAAAUUCGUUGAUAUCUGGAGGAAUACCGGUGGCGAAGGCGGCCCCCUGGCACGGUACUGACGCUGAGGCACGAAAGCGUGGGGAGCAAACAGG
RNAcentral lists this ribosomal RNA (253 nucleotides) under uncultured bacterium. Its description in RNAcentral is "partial 16S ribosomal RNA". It matches the Rfam family "Bacterial small subunit ribosomal RNA", at positions 524 to 776 of the family's 1533-position model. The record is from RNAcentral.